GCAGUCGACGCGUUGGCCCAAUUGAUUGAUGGUGCUUGCACCUGAUUGAUUUUGGUCGCCAACGAGUGGCGGACGGGUGAGUAACACGUAGGUAACCUGCCCAGAAGCGGGGGACAACAUUUGGAAACAGAUGCUAAUACCGCAUAACAGCGUUGUUCGCAUGAACAACGCUUAAAAGAUGGCUUCUCGCUAUCACUUCUGGAUGGACCUGCGGUGCAUUAGCUUGUUGGUGGGGUAACGGCCUACCAAGGCGAUGAUGCAUAGCCGAGUUGAGAGACUGAUCGGCCACAAUGGGACUGAGACACGGCCCAUACUCCUACGGGAGGCAGCAGUAGGGAAUCUUCCACAAUGGGCGCAAGCCUGAUGGAGCAACACCGCGUGAGUGAAGAAGGGUUUCGGCUCGUAAAGCUCUGUUGUUAAAGAAGAACACGUAUGAGAGUAACUGUUCAUACGUUGACGGUAUUUAACCAGAAAGUCACGGCUAACUACGUGCCAGCAGCCGCGGUAAUACGUAGGUGGCAAGCGUUAUCCGGAUUUAUUGGGCGUAAAGAGAGUGCAGGCGGUUUUCUAAGUCUGAUGUGAAAGCCUUCGGCUUAACCGGAGAAGUGCAUCGGAAACUGGAUAACUUGAGUGCAGAAGAGGGUAGUGGAACUCCAUGUGUAGCGGUGGAAUGCGUAGAUAUAUGGAAGAACACCAGUGGCGAAGGCGGCUACCUGGUCUGCAACUGACGCUGAGACUCGAAAGCAUGGGUAGCGAACAGGAUUAGAUACCCUGGUAGUCCAUGCCGUAAACGAUGAGUGCUAGGUGUUGGAGGGUUUCCGCCCUUCAGUGCCGGAGCUAACGCAUUAAGCACUCCGCCUGGGGAGUACGACCGCAAGGUUGAAACUCAAAGGAAUUGACGGGGGCCCGCACAAGCGGUGGAGCAUGUGGUUUAAUUCGAAGCUACGCGAAGAACCUUACCAGGUCUUGACAUCUUGCGCCAACCCUAGAGAUAGGGCGUUUCCUUCGGGAACGCAAUGACAGGUGGUGCAUGGUCGUCGUCAGCUCGUGUCGUGAGAUGUUGGGUUAAGUCCCGCAACGAGCGCAACCCUUGUUACUAGUUGCCAGCAUUAAGUUGGGCACUCUAGUGAGACUGCCGGUGACAAACCGGAGGAAGGUGGGGACGACGUCAGAUCAUCAUGCCCCUUAUGACCUGGGCUACACACGUGCUACAAUGGACGGUACAACGAGUCGCGAACUCGCGAGGGCAAGCAAAUCUCUUAAAACCGUUCUCAGUUCGGACUGCAGGCUGCAACUCGCCUGCACGAAGUCGGAAUCGCUAGUAAUCGCGGAUCAGCAUGCCGCGGUGAAUACGUUCCCGGGCCUUGUACACACCGCCCGUCACACCAUGAGAGUUUGUAACACCCAAAGUCGGUGGGGUAACCUUUAGGAGCCAGCCGCCUAAA
This 1445-nucleotide ribosomal RNA is filed under the name Limosilactobacillus fermentum. RNAcentral's name for it is "bacterial SSU rRNA". It matches the Rfam family "Bacterial small subunit ribosomal RNA". The record is from RNAcentral. Lineage: Bacteria; Bacillati; Bacillota; Bacilli; Lactobacillales; Lactobacillaceae.